This 245-nucleotide ribosomal RNA is filed under the name uncultured bacterium. RNAcentral describes it as "partial 16S ribosomal RNA". It matches the Rfam family "Bacterial small subunit ribosomal RNA", at positions 524 to 768 of the family's 1533-position model. The record is from RNAcentral.
CACGGGGGGAGCAAGCGUUGUUCGGAAUCACUGGGCGUAAAGGGCGUGUAGGCGGUCAGGUAAGUGGGAUGUGAAAGCCCCCGGCUCACCCGGGGAUCUGCACCCCAAACUGCCUGGCUUGAGUACGGGAGAGGAUAGGGGAAUUCCUGGUGUAGCGGUGAAAUGCGUAGAUAUCAGGAGGAACACCGGUGGCGAAGGCGCCUAUCUGGCCCGAUACUGACGCUGAGGCGCGAAAGCUAGGGGAG